AUUGAACGCUGGCGGCAGGCCUAACACAUGCAAGUCUAGCGAGCGGCGGACGGGUGAGUACUGUAUGGGGACUGCCCGAUAGCGUGGGAUCACUACUGGAAACGGUAGCUAAUACCGCAUACUAUCGGAUAACCCAUAUGGGAUUGGCUAGUAGGUGAGUUAAUGGCUAACCUAGGCGACGAUCCCUAGCUGGUCUGAGAGGAUGAUCAGCCACACUGGGAAUGAGACACGGCCCAGACGCCUACGGAGGCAGCAGUGGGGAAUAGUGCACAAUGGGCGCAAGCCUGAGGCAGCCAUGCCGCGUGUAUGAAGAAGGCCCUAGGGUGGUAAAGUACUUUCAGUCGGGAGGCGUUACCGACAGAAGAAGCACCGGCUAACUCCGUGCCAGCCGCCGCGGUAAUAC
This 403-nucleotide ribosomal RNA is filed under the name uncultured bacterium. RNAcentral's name for it is "partial 16S ribosomal RNA". It matches the Rfam family "Bacterial small subunit ribosomal RNA", at positions 30 to 526 of the family's 1533-position model. The record is from RNAcentral.